Non-coding RNA from Bos taurus (domestic cattle), 72 nucleotides. NCBI's taxonomy places the organism in Eukaryota, Metazoa, Chordata, Mammalia, Artiodactyla, Bovidae. The record is from Rfam.
UCCCUAAUAGCUCAGUUGGUAAAGAAUCUGCCUGCAAUGCAGGAGAUUCCAGUUCGAUUCCUGGGUUGGGAA